GAUGAAGACGCAGCGAAAUGCGAUAAGUAAUGUGAAUUGCAGAAUUCAGGGAAUCAUCGAAUCUUUGAACGCACAUUGCGCUCCCUGGUAUUCCGGGGAGCAUGCCUGUUCGAGCGUCAUUACAACCCUCAAGCUCUGCUUGGUGUUGGGCCCCGCCGCCCCGGCGGGCCCUAAAGUCAGUGGCGGUGCCGUCCGGCUCCGAGCGUAGUAAUUUUUCUCGCUUUGGAGGCCCGGGCGCGUGCUUGCCAUCAACCCCCAAUUUUUUUCAGGUUGACCUCGGAUCAGGUAGGGAUACCCGCUGAACUUAAGCAUAUCAAUAAGCGGAGGA
RNAcentral lists this unclassified non-coding RNA (328 nucleotides) under soil metagenome. RNAcentral describes it as "partial contains 5.8S ribosomal RNA, internal transcribed spacer 2, and large subunit ribosomal RNA". The stretch from base 1 to 119 matches the Rfam family "5.8S ribosomal RNA", at positions 35 to 154 of the family's 154-position model. The record is from RNAcentral.